This 85-nucleotide microRNA precursor is filed under the name Pan paniscus (pygmy chimpanzee). Its description in RNAcentral is "miRNA (ENSPPAG00000007003.1)". The record is from RNAcentral. Lineage: Eukaryota; Metazoa; Chordata; Mammalia; Primates; Hominidae.
GUAUUAGGUUGGUGCAAAAGUAAUUGCAAUUUUUGCCAUUACUUUUAAAUGACAAAAACCACAAUUACUUUUACACCAACUAAUA